RNAcentral lists this ribosomal RNA (492 nucleotides) under uncultured bacterium. Its description in RNAcentral is "partial 16S ribosomal RNA". It matches the Rfam family "Bacterial small subunit ribosomal RNA", at positions 29 to 507 of the family's 1533-position model. The record is from RNAcentral.
AGUGAACGCUGGCGGUAGGCCUAACACAUGCAAGUCGAACGGCAGCACAGUAAGAGCUUGCUCUUACGGGUGGCGAGUGGCGGACGGGUGAGGAAUACAUCGGAAUCUACUUUUUCGUGGGGGAUAACGUAGGGAAACUUACGCUAAUACCGCAUACGACCUACGGGUGAAAGCAGGGGAUCUUCGGACCUUGCGCGAUUGAAUGAGCCGAUGUCGGAUUAGCUGGUUGGCGGGGUAAAGGCCCACCAAGGCGACGAUCCGUAGCUGGUCUGAGAGGAUGAUCAGGCACACUGGAACUGAGACACGGUCCAGACUCCUACGGGAGGCAGCAGUGGGGAAUAUUGGACAAUGGGCGCAAUCCUGAUCCAGCCAUACCGCGUGGGUGAAGAAGGCCUUCGGGUUGUAAAGCCCUUUUGUUGGGAAAGAAAAGCAGCAGGUUAAUACCCCGCUGUUCUGACGGUACCCAAAGAAUAAGCACCGGCUAACUUCGUG